This 426-nucleotide ribosomal RNA is filed under the name uncultured bacterium. Its description in RNAcentral is "partial 16S ribosomal RNA". It matches the Rfam family "Bacterial small subunit ribosomal RNA", at positions 355 to 774 of the family's 1533-position model. The record is from RNAcentral.
UGGGGAAUAUUGGACAAUGGGCGAAAGCCUGAUCCAGCCAUGCCGCGUGUGUGAAGAAGGUCUUCGGAUUGUAAAGCACUUUAAGUUGGGAGGAAGGGCAUUAACCUAAUACGUUAGUGUUUUGACGUUACCGACAGAAUAAGCACCGGCUACUCUGUGCCAGCAGCCGCGGUAAUACAGAGGGUGCAAGCGUUAAUCGGAAUUACUGGGCGUAAAGCGCGCGUAGGUGGUUUGUUAAGUUGGAUGUGAAAUCCCCGGGCUCAACCUGGGAACUGCAUUCAAAACUGACUGACUAGAGUAUGGUAGAGGGUGGUGGAAUUUCCUGUGUAGCGGUGAAAUGCGUAGAUAUAGGAAGGAACACCAGUGGCGAAGGCGACCACCUGGACUAAUACUGACACUGAGGUGCGAAAGCGUGGGGAGCAAACA